CGCGUCUAUGCAGUUCACACCAUCUAGGGUGGAGUACUACUUUCAUUCCAAGUAUAGGCUUCAUCUCUGUCCGUGUCUGUAUCCGUCUCGUCUGCCUCGUCUCCGAUGACGGUACGCGGCAUACAACCACCAUCCAUCCCUCGCCUGUUAGGUCGCGCCCUCCAUCCCUUGACUCAUGUGACUGCUAUAGUGCUCAGCUCACAAGCUAUGACAUACAAAGGUAGUAGAAAGCACAGCCCAAAUCCGAAUGUGCAUGUUGCUGUGGAUUUCCAUCUCAACUUCACAUACGUGUUAGCAGGUUGGGAAGGAUCACCCAUGAUGCUAUUUUUUUUUUCUGACAACAUGGUUCGACCUGAUGGGAUCAAUAUCCCCGAUGCUAAGUUCUACCUAGUAGAUGCUCGAUAUGCAUGUCGGCAUGGGGUUCUUCCAUCGUUCAGGAAAAUCAGGUAUCAUCUCAACGAGUUCUCUUCUAGAAACCAUCCUAAGGCUGCCAAGGAAUUGCUAAAUCUCAAACACUCUAGCCUGUGAGUUGCGGUCGAUAAGGUAUUUGGCGCUCUAAAGAAUAGAUUUCACAUCCUUGAUCAAAAGCCAUCUCACCAUUUUUCCGCUCAAGUUAAGCUUUUUCUUGCUUGUUGCAUUCUUCAUAAUUGAAUCCUAUAGUGGGCUCUUCAUGAGUACAUGCUGGAGGAGAAAGAUGUGACAGUUGACGACAUUGAAUCUGACCGUGGUGUGAUGCCACAUGACACUGAAACUUGAAAGACACAAAGGUUAGAGUGAGCUGAGGCAAUGUGGGCUAACAAAGCAACACAAGGCUCAAAAGAAGAACAAGAAGAGGAAGAAGAAAAAUAACACGGUGAACUUCCCCAUUCAUCGCCAUUGAUGAAUCUCCCCCCUGCAGCCAUAUGACCGUUCAUUUGUAUUGCCAUUUGUUAGUAGCCAGGACAAAGAACCAUUUGUUUAGUAGUGAGUGAAACGAUGUUAUUUUCGUAUUGGAUGAUGUUUAUCUGACACCGUCUAUGACAUGUAAUGUGUGGUAAUAUCACCACUAUUGAGAAUGAGUGUCCACAAUAUUAGGCCG
This 1078-nucleotide ribosomal RNA is filed under the name Triticum aestivum (bread wheat). RNAcentral's name for it is "partial small subunit ribosomal RNA". Lineage: Eukaryota; Viridiplantae; Streptophyta; Magnoliopsida; Poales; Poaceae. The record is from RNAcentral.